GAUGAACGCUGGCGGCGUGCUUAACACAUGCAAGUCGAACGAACCUUCGGGUUAGUGGCGGACGGGUGAGUAACGCGUGAGAAUUUGCCCUCAGGAGGGGGAUAACGGCUGGAAACGGCCGCUAAUACCCCAUAUGCCGAGAGGUGAAAUGAAUUUUGCCUGAGGAUGAGCUCGCGUUUGAUUAGCUAGUUGGUGGGGUAAAGGCCUACCAAGGCAUCGAUCAGUAGCUGGUUUGAGAGGAUGAUCAGCCACACUGGGACUGAGACACGGCCCAGACUCCUACGGGAGGCAGCAGUGGGGAAUUUUCCGCAAUGGGCGCAAGCCUGACGGAGCAACGCCGCGUGAGGGAUGAAGGCCUUUGGGCUGUAAACCUCUUUUAUCAAGGAAGAAGAUCUGACGGUACUUGAUGAAUAAGCCACGGCUAAUUCCGUG
This 432-nucleotide ribosomal RNA is filed under the name uncultured bacterium. Its description in RNAcentral is "bacterial SSU rRNA". It matches the Rfam family "Bacterial small subunit ribosomal RNA", at positions 28 to 507 of the family's 1533-position model. The record is from RNAcentral.